UGAUUUCAGGGUGGAGAAUGGUAGUUUGUACAUCUAGCUCUAUGACGAAUGAGAAUCUAAUUCCUGAACGUUGAAAUAGGAUGGGAAAUAAGGGAUGAGUGUGGGGUAGUAUUGUAAAGUACAGUCGUGUUGUAGCCCCCAUAGUUAAGGCAAGUCACGGGAAGGUAAACAAAGCUGCCAUAGGCCUACAGAUCAUGUCAAAAGAGAGAGAGAUAGAACUUGUCGACAUUUUAAAUUUUAAAGAAGGAAAAUCUCAUGGCCAGUGUCCCUCGUGCCGGUACAUCAUGGGAGGUUUGUUGGCCUUGGCGAGAGUGCAGUGUGUGGAAGCCUUGAUGUUGCCUCGUAUUGGUUAUAAUUAGGAAUAAGUGCAAUUGGUGUGUCGCAACUGAUAAAAUGUUUGGUAAAUGUUUUGAAAUCGGUCAUUCGUGGCGAUAGAGUAAAAUUAACCAUUGUAUGUAACUGAUGUGAUUUGAUUGCUGAGUUUAUUUUUGUUGUGACUGUAUUGGAUAUUGAAGCCGAUGAAUAUGUUCAAAUGUAGAAAGUUGUUGGUUAUUUCAUAAAGCGGGCAUUGUGCGUUAGAAUUAAAUGGUGAAUUCGGUAUUUGAAAAUUGCACAUUUCGUGGGCACAGUACACUCCUGAUGUUUAUAAACUCGAUGAGAAAGAGGCAUUCUAUGCCAAACUUGCAUCUAUGGCAGACAGAUGUUGCCGGCUAAAUAUUUGCAUCAUACUGGCCAAUAAUUUUUGGCUGUGAAUGAGCUGGAUACAAGAUGUCUGUUGGUCAUCAUGGCUCAGGAGCUGGAUCAUCGGGUACAGUUGGCAGGACCAUGUGUCCAGCUGACAGCUACACUGUGAGACUGGCAUCGGACCUGUUACUUGCAUAAUAUGAGAUUGUCAACUCAGGCUAUGUGGGCACCCUAGCUCAUUUCCCUGUGGAUAACCCUACCCAUCAGGUUUCCUCCUUUAGACAAUCCUGGAUGGAGGAGGCCAGUUGGAUGAUGUGGGGGUUAUGGCUUGAGCAGCUUGACCAGACCUGUCACAAGGAGCUAGAGAUGGGCUGAGAGCCUGCCAAGAGAUUUGCCAUGAGGGACCCCAUGAGUGGACGUGAAGGGUGGAUAUGGCCAUGCACCCCUGUCGGCGUUAAACCCCAAUGAGGAUGACGAAGGCAAACUACAGUGGUUCUUCGUGACUUGAUGCUCGGUGGAUUCCAGACGAUGUGAAGUCUUCAUUCCUUGAAAGUGAUGACAAAAAAUGUGGGAGUUUGAUCCAGAAGUGUAGAUGUAUGGAUUGAGGCUACUACUCGUAUUGAAGAUCUGACAGGUUGUGACCAUCUGAGGUGGCUGUAGAGUGGAAAUUGCAGUGUUGGACUUGCAUAUUGGGCCUACCUUCUAUUGCUACUCAAUCAUUUCAUCCACAAAAGAUGUGUGCGACUGAUCUCAAAUGCCUUCAUGAUGGUUUUGGAUGCCGUGACUGCUAGACCUUCCAACCUGUCACUGAAAAUUUAGCCUCUGGGAGGUAGACAAUCAUGUUAAUUUGAUGUGAGAAUAAACAAAUAAAGUAUUAAUAAUG
RNAcentral lists this long non-coding RNA (1567 nucleotides) under Penaeus chinensis. Its description in RNAcentral is "uncharacterized LOC125037035, transcript variant X1". Lineage: Eukaryota; Metazoa; Arthropoda; Malacostraca; Decapoda; Penaeidae. The record is from RNAcentral.